AGAAUCAUGAUCCUAAACAGUAUGAUAAGAUUCAUGGUUUUCCUCAGUACUGGGGAUAGAGCCCAAAGGUGCUCCGCCCUUGUUUUUCUUUAAGAUAAGUUGCCCAGACUGGCCUGGGACUCCUCCUACCUCAGCCAGCUAAGUACCUGGAAUUAUAGGCAUGCACCACCACGCCUGACUCUGAUCAGACUCUUUAAAGAAAAAAUUAUGUGUUUCUCUCCUUAGGAACCUUCCAUAGACCCCAGUUACUAUUACAAAAAGGUCAUAAUCAUAGCCCAAAUUUCAAGACCUUUAACAUCUGAUCUAGUCCCCCACCACGUCUUCCUGAAUUCUAAUUAGACUCAGGAGAACACGCUCCAUCCCUUGGAAUAUACUGACCCUGACCCACUGCAGGUGUUCUCAUAUAGUGUCUUCUGCCACCCUUGCUGGAGCCAGGUCCUAUACAUGCUCUAAGAAACAGGUGGCAUCAUGGUUCUUCGUCUAUCAAGAAGAAACCCUGGUGGUCACAACCCUCAGUCUACCUUCUUGGCAAUUUACUCAUAACAUUCGCAAAGUUCUUCUCAUCUCCUUUUUUGAAGAAAAUUGACAACCUGCAAUGACACCUAUAUUUUGAGGAACAAUGUGUCAAGCCAUGUGGAGUCUACAAAGAAGUGAAGGGAAAAUAGAAAGAAACCUGCUCUGUAAUUGGCAUGAUUCUCCGUUGAAUAAUUCAUGUAUGCAAGAAAUUCUAGUUUUUGAGGAUUCAUUUCAACAGUAAGCCUUUACAUGAUUGACAUGGUAGGAAAUUUAAGUGCAAUCACUUUAGACCAGUCUCCUCCUCUUGGACUCAUAUACCACAGUCCAGGGAGCUUUAAGUGGUGUCUGGAAAAUUUUCAAAUUC
Molecule: long non-coding RNA, 880 nt
Filed under: Marmota monax (woodchuck)
Lineage: Eukaryota; Metazoa; Chordata; Mammalia; Rodentia; Sciuridae
Source: RNAcentral